UUUGGGCCUCUUAACCCGCGUCAAUGCGAUACCUUAUACGCGAACGCGAAGAACAAUGGCUCUGGGACCUUCACGCACCGAACAUCACUAUGCGAACGCGACCCGCAUCACACGAACGUGAAGCACAACCACAAGGACCAUCCGCGAAUGUGAGACACCAGAUGUGAAUGCAAAGCACAAAAUCAGGGCCACCCAAACUCCUUCUACGCGAACGCGAGAGACUUCUCAUGAUCGCGAAGGCACAAAUCUGCCUGCACCUGCUACUGCAUUUUCGGCAAUUCUCCCAAGUUCAAAACUUCCUGUUAACCAUCCAAAAUCACCCUGAGGCCCAAGGGACCUCAACCAAAAGCACCAACACAUCCUAAAAUAUCAUCCAAACUUGUUUUAUUCAUCAAAACACCUCAAACAACACCAAAACCAUUAAUUCACAUCGAAUUCAAGCCUAAGUUCUUCUAAAACUUUCGAAACAGGCAUUUGAUCAAAAUUCACAACCAAAUCACCUCCGAAUGAUCUGAAAGUUUACACACACAUCCCAAAUCAACGAAACUACAACAAUUCUCGAAACUCCAUUCCAACCCUUGGAUCAUAAUCUCACAUAUCAACCGAAAAUGCCAAAAUACUAACUUCGCCAAUUCAAGCAUAAUUCUACUCCGGACCUCCAAACCACUUCCGAUCACACUCCUAAGUCAUAUGUCACCCAACGAAGCUAACCAAAUCAUAAAAACUUCGAUCCGAGCUCAUAUACAAAUAAGUCAACUCUUGGUCAAACCUUUCAAAUUCAAAGCUUUCAACUGAAACUGUUCUUUCAAAUUCAUUCUGAUUUUUCUGAAACCAAAAC
RNAcentral lists this long non-coding RNA (838 nucleotides) under Nicotiana benthamiana. RNAcentral describes it as "long non-coding RNA (NBEN_LNC024355)". The record is from RNAcentral. Lineage: Eukaryota; Viridiplantae; Streptophyta; Magnoliopsida; Solanales; Solanaceae.